AUUGAACGCUGGCGGCAUGCCUUACACAUGCAAGUCGAACGGCAGCACGGGAGCAAUCCUGGUGGCGAGUGGCGAACGGGUGAGUAAUAUAUCGGAACGUGCCCAGUCGUGGGGAUAACGUAGCGAAAGCUACGCUAAUACCGCAUACGAUCUAUGGAUGAAAGCGGGGGAUCGCAAGACCUCGCGCGAUUGGAGCGGCCGAUAUCAGAUUAGGUAGUUGGUGAGGUAAAGGCUCACCAAGCCGACGAUCUGUAGCUGGUCUGAGAGGACGACCAGCCACACUGGGACUGAGACACGGCCCAGACUCCUACGGGAGGCAGCAGUGGGGAAUUUUUGGACAAUGGGCGCAAGCCUGAUCCAGCAAUGCCGUGUGCAGGAUGAAGGCCUCGGUUG
RNAcentral lists this ribosomal RNA (393 nucleotides) under uncultured bacterium. Its description in RNAcentral is "bacterial SSU rRNA". It matches the Rfam family "Bacterial small subunit ribosomal RNA", at positions 30 to 425 of the family's 1533-position model. The record is from RNAcentral.